This is a non-coding RNA of Aspergillus pseudoviridinutans, 92 nucleotides long. The record is from the annotation of a RefSeq genome assembly. Lineage: Eukaryota; Fungi; Ascomycota; Eurotiomycetes; Eurotiales; Aspergillaceae.
GGGGUGAUAGCUCAGUUGGGAGAGCGCACGACUGAAGUUAACACUUUAGUCACAUAAUCGUGAGGUCGCUGGUUCAAUCCCGGCUCAUCCCA